This 83-nucleotide transfer RNA is filed under the name Canis lupus familiaris (dog). It matches the Rfam family "tRNA". From Rfam's summary of the family: Transfer RNA (tRNA) molecules are approximately 80 nucleotides in length. Their secondary structure includes four short double-helical elements and three loops (D, anti-codon, and T loops). Lineage: Eukaryota; Metazoa; Chordata; Mammalia; Carnivora; Canidae. RNAcentral also lists the same sequence under 1 other name. The record is from Rfam by way of RNAcentral.
GCCUGGGUGGCUCAGUGGUUGAGUGUCUGCCUUUGGCUCAGAUCAUGAUCCUGGAGUCCUGGGAUCGAGUCCCACAUCAGGCU